AGGAGAGUUUGAUCCUGGCUCAGGACGAACGCUGGCGGCGUGCCUAACACAUGCAAGUCGAACGGGGUAAGGACACCGGAUGAAGAUUCGUCAGAUUCCACCGUCCUUACUUAGUGGCGGACGGGUGAGUAACGCGUGGGCAACCUGCCCUGUACAGGGGAAUAGCAGCUGGAAACGGCUGGUAAAACCGCAUAUGCGCGCAGUACCGCAUGGUACAGCGCGGAAAACUCCGGUGGUACAGGAUGGGCCCGCGUCUGAUUAGCUUGUUGGUGAGGUAACGGCCCACCAAGGCGACGAUCAGUGGCCGGCCUGAGAGGGUGAACGGCCACAUUGGGACUGAGACACGGCCCAAACUCCCUACGGGAGGCAGCAGUGGGGAAUAUUGCACAAUGGGGGGAACCCUGAUGCAGCGACGCCGCGUGGAGGAAGAAGUAUUUCGGUACGUAAACUCCUAUCAGCAGGGAAGAUGAUGACGGUACCUGACUAAGAAGCCCCGGCUAACUACGUGCCAGCAGCCGCGGUAAUACGUAGGGGGCAAGCGUUAUCCGGAUUUACUGGGUGUAAAGGGGAGCGUAGGGCGGCGGUGCAAGUCAGCAGUGAAACCCCGGGCCCCAACUCCGGGCAUGCUGUGAAAACUGCAUUGCUUGAUUCCGGGAGGGGUAAAGCGGAAUUCCUGGUGUAGCGGUGAAAUGCGUAGAUAUCAGGAGGAACACCGGUGGCGAAGGCGGCUUACUGGACCGGCAAUGACGCUGAGGCUCGAAAGCGUGGGGAGCAAACAGGAUUAGAUACCCUGGUAGUCCU
Molecule: ribosomal RNA, 801 nt
Filed under: uncultured Bacillota bacterium
Lineage: Bacteria; Bacillati; Bacillota
Description: bacterial SSU rRNA
Rfam family: Bacterial small subunit ribosomal RNA
Source: RNAcentral